AUUGAACGCUGGCGGCAUGCUUUACACAUGCAAGUCGAACGGUAACAGGCCGCAAGGUGCUGACGAGUGGCGAACGGGUGAGUAAUGCAUCGGAACGUGCCCAGUCGUGGGGGAUAACUACUCGAAAGAGUAGCUAAUACCGCAUACGAUCUAUGGAUGAAAGCGGGGGACCGUAAGGCCUCGCGCGAUUGGAGCGGCCGAUGUCAGAUUAGGUAGUUGGUGGGGUAAAGGCUCACCAAGCCAACGAUCUGUAGCUGGUCUGAGAGGACGACCAGCCACACUGGGACUGAGACACGGCCCAGACUCCUACGGGAGGCAGCAGUGGGGAAUUUUGGACAAUGGGCGCAAGCCUGAUCCAGCAAUGCCGCGUGCAGGAAGAAGGCUUUCGGGUUGUAAACUGCUUUUGUACGGAACGAAACGGCUCUGGUUAAUACCCGGGGCUAAUGACGGUACCGUAAGAAUAAGCACCGGCUAACUACGUG
RNAcentral lists this ribosomal RNA (482 nucleotides) under uncultured bacterium. Its description in RNAcentral is "partial 16S ribosomal RNA". It matches the Rfam family "Bacterial small subunit ribosomal RNA", at positions 30 to 507 of the family's 1533-position model. The record is from RNAcentral.